AUACGUAGGUGACAAGCGUUAUCCGGAUUUACUGGGCGUAAAGGGCGUGUAGGCGGUCUUGCAGGUCAGAAGUGAAAUUCCUGAGCUCAACUCGGGCGCUGCUUCUGAAACUGCAGGACUUGAGUGCUGGAGGGGAUAGCGGAAUUCCUAGUGGAGCGGUAAAAUGCGCAGAUAUUAGGAAGAACACCGGUGGCGAAGGCGGCUAUCUGGACAGUAACUGACGCUGAGGCGCGAAAGCGUGGGGAGCAAACAGGAUUAGAUACCCUGGUAGUCCACGCGGUAAACGAUGAAUGCUAGGUGUUGCGGGUAUCGACCCCUGCAGUGCCGGAGUCAACACAAUAAGCAUUCCGCCUGGGGAGUACGGCCGCAAGGUUGAAACUCAAAUGAAUUGACGGGG
RNAcentral lists this ribosomal RNA (397 nucleotides) under uncultured bacterium. Its description in RNAcentral is "partial 16S ribosomal RNA". It matches the Rfam family "Bacterial small subunit ribosomal RNA", at positions 523 to 918 of the family's 1533-position model. The record is from RNAcentral.